Molecule: long non-coding RNA, 6026 nt
Organism: Bubalus bubalis (water buffalo)
Lineage: Eukaryota; Metazoa; Chordata; Mammalia; Artiodactyla; Bovidae
Exons: 2
Source: RefSeq, a predicted model, not a curated record
CCGUUUCCAUAGCCCAACCUCCCAACCAUCUCCAGCCACAGCAGGCUCAGGCUCCCAGACAGGUAGCCCUUGAACUCCAGAUUCAUGGAUGAGUUACUGACAGGUGUCUACUCCAACCUGAAUCUAGGGACUUGCAAAUGGAGAAGAAAUUUCAAGUGGUGGCUCUACUCUGGAUCACAUUUCUGCUUUGAAAAGACAACAGGUCUGGUCUGGACGCCCAGGUAGUGAGUUAUCACCCUCCACUCCUGCAACUUCCAUUGAGCUGAUUUCAAGUGGGCUUAUGUAUUGUCUCUGCUACUGCCAAAAACACCGCAGGGGCUCUCCAGCCUACACAAUAGGUGUGUAGGCGCACUCCUGCACACGUGGGUGCCCGCAACCACCCCAUCAUUUUCCCAGGCUUAUUUUGCAGUGGUAUGAAAGAGCACAAAGAAUUUCGAAGUCAGUUGUAUUCUUCGCUGUUAUUAUUAGUUGUAGUGCAUUGAAGAGGGACAAACAAUGCAGCUCGUUCUGUCGCCUCUCCAGUCCUAGAGAUUUCUUUUCGAGAAUUAAUAUUUAUUUAUUUUUUUGUCACUGUGUUGAAAGAACUCAAGAAAGACUAAUUACUCUCCUCUCUCUUUUAGCUGAGCAUAAAGCUGGAUCCGACAGUGAGGCUGAGUGAUCUGCUACGGGGUGGUGUUUUUGUGUCUUGGCUUGAAGGGGAAUCUUGAUUGGGGAAUCUCCUGAGUCUUUGCAUGUGUCUUUGGGAAAUUGUGAGCAGCACACCCGGCACCCAUGUCCAAGGUGGCAAUCAAGGCCCUGAGCGACAGCAUUAGAUGCCCAUGUGGAUGAUGGCACAGAAGGACCCUCCAACUCCCAUCUUCCCAAUUUCCCCUUGAUCCAUGAAUUUUUCUGUUUGGUGCAGAAAUAGUACUCUCCGUUCUCAAAGCUGGGCACAGUCUUGUAUAAAACCCACUCUACUGCUUCUGACUGAGUCUUUGUGCCCCAGGACUGAGGGGUGAGGGCCCUCGGAAGCAGCCUCUGCAAGUGGGUGGUCUUGACCCCACCCCCAAUCCCCAGCCCAAAGUCCCCCUGCCCCACCUUCUCUAGACUGCAGUGAUCCCAUCCAACCAUGCGGUGGUUUCACUCAGAAACUCUCCAGCGCUCACACUGCUCAGUGCGGCCACAGAUCACGUGAUACACUCACGAAGCCCGGGUCCUUCGUUUGCAAGUACCGAAGCUGAGCCUAAGAUCCCCGUGGAAGAGUUUCUUAGCUGGAUGAAUCUUUAAAGGUCAAGCAUAGAUAGAAAUUUCCUAGAUGGAAGCUCAGAGGAUCCUUAUAGCCGCCCGUGGCAGAACUACUGGUUUGAAAUGAUUCCCUAGUGGCUCAGUGGUAAAGAAUCCGUUUGCAAUGCAGGAGACAGGAGACGUGGGUUUUAUCCCUGGAUCUGGAAGAUCCCCUGGAGGAGGUUGUGGCAACCCCCUCCAGUACCACUGCUGGGAAAAUCCCACGGACAGAGGAGCCUGGCAGGCUACGGCCCACGGGGUCGCAAAGAGUUGGAAGCGACUGAGCGACUGAGCAUGAGCAGCACGAUCUGGUGAGAACCCUGGAAGUUCCGAGGAGGAGCAUCAAGUCUGCCCGCCCUCCUGCUCCCUCCAGCCAGGCCUUGAGCUGCCUGGAGCCCAUUAUGAGACAAACAAGGUGGGGUGGCCCUGGAGCUGGGAAAACACGUGUUCCAGCUCCAGGAGCAGGCUGUGCAACUCUGGGCCCAGCUCACCCCCUCUCUGAGCCUUUCACAUUUGUAAAAGGAGGGAGUCGCACCAGAUUACCUCUGGGGUUCCUACUGCUGCAUGAUUUUUAUUGUUUUAUGUUUAUUUAUCUUCGGCUGCACCGGCUCUUGGUUGCAGUACACAGGCUUCCUCUGGUUACAGCUCUCGGGCUUAGUUGCCCUGCAGCAUGUGAGAGCUCAGUUCCCUGACCAGGGAUGGAACCCCCGUCCUCUGCAGUGCAAAGUGGAUUCUUAACCACUGGACUGCCAGAGAAGCCCCUGCAUGAUUUUUUAUUUAAAAAAAAAAAACAAACAACUCCUCCAUUUUGAGGAGCUCUGAGACGUGACAGAAAGCAUUUCCAAGGGGGGACAUCUGAGUUUCCUCUAGAAAUUUUCAAGAGGGAAAAUAUCUACCAAUAGGAAAGCAGCAGCAAGAGAUAUCCUUGAAAUAUGGGGCAAGGGUGGGGCCGGAACUGGGGCCCUGGACCACAUACUCUCCCCUGGAUCUUUAAACUAAGAUCAGACAUUUUCUACAAAACAGGCCACUGGACAGCAACUCAGCAACCCAGGGACGUGGUCCACUGCUUGCGUUAAUGCUCCCUAAUGGAGACACAAGGACCGUGUCCCGGCCUGCAUUUCACUGCUCUGGGAGUGGGAGGGGUCUAAUCCCCCCACCCCUGAGAGGCAGGACUAACCGCAGGCUGGAGCAAAGAGGUGGCAAGACAAGAGUAGGAACUCCGGAAUCACUUGAAAAGAACAAAUAGAUCAAAAACCACAAGCAACAUCAGCAGGUCCCAGAGGGCAAGGCAAGCCCGCAAAUAUUGAUGCUGAAGCCGGUUGAGAAGUCCAUCCAGGAAGGCCAGGAAAUCAGGAAGCUGGCAGUCCCACCAAGGGCUAUUCAGAGCCCCAGCCACGGCGACCAUCUCCGCUCCUGCGGCUUUUUCUAAUGGACGUGGAGCCUCCAAAUCCCUCUUUCUGGGCCCCUCACGGGGCUGUUAACACUGUUUGCCAGCGAAAAAGUUCAGGAAGAUAUCAAACCAACUGUUCCGUGGCUUUCCUGCCCUGCUGCCUUCUGUAACAGGAGGUGGGGAGUGGAGCCAGCUGGCCCACCGCCCCCUCCUCUCUACUAGGGCUCCCACGAGAGGGGUCACCUGGCAGUGAAUCAAGAAAAGAGUCUUUAGAGAGAAGGAGAGCUAACCGCCUACCUGCCUCUCUGCAGCUGCCAGCACUGAUAUGGGAGCCCUGUGCUUGGCGGGUCAGAGUCUCAGCUGAAAACUAUUAGGGUCGGCGGCUUUCCCUGUCUGACCUCAUUCCAUCUCGGUGAUUGGAAACUGGGAGGGGUCGUGGAGAUCAAUCCAACUCAUUUCUUUGAUAGUGAGCAAAUACAGAAGUUUGGGAAUGGGAAGAGAUGUACCCAGAGUUGUACGGGCAAGAGAGCCAGAAUAAGAAGCGAAAUCUGCACAGGUGAAAAUGCACGAUAGAGCCUGAGAUGAUUCCAAGAGUCAGCAGACCCUGUAAGAGCCAAGUGACUCAUCUCUGGGGACCCAUCUAAGGGAAGAUGCUAAGGAGCUGGAGGGACCAGGCUGGCAGAUGCAACCAGGUGGCCAUGUGGGACUUGAGAGAAGCUCUCAAAUAACAGGAUGACAUCCAUACUCCCAGGCACAAGGGUCUGCAGACCAAUGGAUGAGAAGAAAAAUGUCACUGUCGUCAUCACUGGAGGAGGAAGAGACAGGGCAAGAGGAAGCAGCAAAAGAGGAGGGACCACAUGAAGCUCUGGUUUAGGAAGUUAAAAUCAAACUCGAAGACCAGUGCCCUGCACAGGGCUUCAUUCUAAGAAGAUGCAAUAAAGAGAAGGCAGUCAGGAGGGAAGAUGGAGGGAGAGAAUAAGGGUAAAAUGAAGGCAGUUUGGCUAUGUCUACAAAACCUGGGAGGAUGACAGACCUUUUAUUGAAACUACAGAAUGUUAGUAUGGACCUCCGUAUGGAAAACACCUAGAGAACGUUCUUCCUGAGCUCACCUUUCCAGAGAACUUUAGCAUAGACAACAGUGAGAUCUGGGGAAAAUCAGGGGGAACAGGCAGGGAUUCUAAUAGACAAUGUGAAGAACUUCCCAGCUGUAAUAGCUUCCCAGAAGAGGGUUCACUUGAAGGGGCUUUGUAGGAUGGCCAGGAGGAAAGAGCAUACCAGUCAAAGGCAACACCAUAUGUAAAGCCCAAAGAUGUGAAAUGGCCAAGGAUGUCCAAGGAAGUGCAGUUGUUUGGGUCUGGCUGGACAAAGGUUUGUAGGGGGAGAGUGGCCAGGGAUAAAGCUGAAUCAAUGGGCUGGUCCCACUCCUGGGAAAAUCAUUCAAGGAAUAUGGACUUCUAGUGAAGGUAACUGGGAGCCAUUGAAAGUAGUAGCAGGGAAGCUGCGUUAUCACCGGCACGUUUUAGGACAAGCACUCUGGCUGCAGGAAGGGAAGUGGACUUAGGAGACUUGCAGCAGCAACACAAGCUGAAGGGCCAUCGCAAAGCUCUGAGAGCCCGAGUGGCUGCAGGAUGGAGGGAUAGAGGGCAGAAGGGCCCACUGGGUGAGUAUGGACAGGACUAGGUGACUGGUGGGAUGUGGAAGAAUCUAUGAGUCCUGCAUUCCUGGUGUGGGUGAUGGGCAGUGGACACCACUAACCAGGUCAGACAUAAGAAGGAAGAAGUUUGACAGUGAGGUGAUGAAUUUACCUUCUGACGUCUCAACUGUGGAGUUGCAGGGGGACCUUCAGGUAGGGAUGGCAAAGUGGUGGUUGGACACAUGGGGCGGGAGCUGGAGGUGUGUGGGUCAUCCAUGUACACGUGACCCUCUGGUCUUUUUUUUUUUCCAACUGGACUGCACAACUUUCGAGAUCUUAGUUCCCCAGCCAGGGAUCGAACCCCAGUGAAAGCGCCAAGUCCUAACCACUGGACCACCAGGGAACUUCCUUCUCUCUGGUCUUUUAAAUUGUGGGCCUGUUGCCUUUUCUCAGGGCCCCCAGGAACUUGGUCACAUCUAGAGGAGGGUGGGCGAGCCACUUGGGGAGGAGAGACCCUCCUCUGGGAUAAUGAGAGAGGGUGAGUGGGAAUCCCUAGGGAGGAGCCCCCUCCUUGCGAGAUGCAGGUCUUUAGGACCAAGGAGCAUCUCUCAUGUAAGACAGAAAGCUCUUCAUCAAGCUGUUCUUGGCCUGGCCCCCUUGGCUGAGCAACUGCUCACACAUGGAGCUUAAUGCUAACAAGAAGCAAAUGGUCUUCCUAAGAGAUUUUUGAGUGAGAAGCCCAGAGCCCUUCUUUGCCAUGAUGGCUAUAGGAAGUGCAGGCUCAGGAAUGGAGGGAGAAGGAAAGAGAGGAAGACUGGGGGAUGGGGAGAGGGAGCGGCAAUCAGCAGCGAGGACUCAGGGGGAGGAGGGGGCUGGGAAAACGGGAUGAGGGAGACAAAGAGAUAUCAAGCCCUAGGGUAUCACCAACAGGCUGGAGCAACUGAUGAACAAUUCAGACUUUGACCCGAGUCCUUCAGAAGCGCCCCACCAUCUCUUUCAGUGUCCUGGGGAGUGCGAGUGUCCAGCCGGCUCUCUCCUGGACUCCCGUCUUUGUCAGACGCCCACACACACCCCAUACAGUGUCCUCCGAGAUGGUGGGCGGCACGGCCCCCUCUUGCCAGGCCAUGUUUGCCAUCCCUGAGCCAGAGACCUGCUGACCGGUAAGCCUGGGCGGGCAGAGUCCUCCCGCUUCUGCGGUAGAGAGUAGAAAGGGAAUCAGCCUCUUUCUUUGGACUUGCUACCUGACAGUGCUGGGAAAUCGCAAAGCUAUUUAUUCCCCUCUCCAGCCAGUGGCGUGCAAAAGCCCACUUGAAGGGACACCGCCAAAGUCAAGAGGCCUCCUCUGUGACCCGGGCCACGAGGCUCAAGGACCAGACAGUGCUUCAGACAGCAGCUGUGUCCAAGUGUCAGUCUGCGAUCACCAACGCGGAGCAGGCGGCGACUUCUCAGAUGAGUCCGAAAGGGACGGUCGGUCACAUGGACCUUCCCGACUGAGGGUGGUGAUGGGGGCGCCUCUGCGGGGGAGGAAAGGGGAGACAGAAGCAAAGCAUGUUUGAGAUGAGAAGGAAAAGACCAAUUUGCCCUGCGAGGCAGCAUCUCCCUCUCCAUUGCAGAGACCGUGGACCAAUUAUUCCAUCAAGUUCGAUAUUAGAGAAGCCAACUUCAUUAGAGCUUCAAGGCGCAUGAAACGUUAAUCAUGGAACCUUGAUAUUCUUCUGCAGGAGAGACUUACUCUGGAAA